RNAcentral lists this ribosomal RNA (497 nucleotides) under uncultured bacterium. RNAcentral's name for it is "partial 16S ribosomal RNA". It matches the Rfam family "Bacterial small subunit ribosomal RNA", at positions 28 to 507 of the family's 1533-position model. The record is from RNAcentral.
GACGAACGCUGGCGGCGUGCCUAAUACAUGCAAGUAGAACGCUGAAGAGAGGAGCUUGCUCUUCUUGGAUGAGUUGCGAACGGGUGAGUAACGCGUAGGUAACCUGCCUUGUAGCGGGGGAUAACUAUUGGAAACGAUAGCUAAUACCGCAUAACAAUGGCUGACACAUGUCAUUUAUUUGAAAGGGGCAAUUGCUCCACUACAAGAUGGACCUGCGUUGUAUUAGCUAGUAGGUGAGGUAAUGGCUCACCUAGGCGACGAUACAUAGCCGACCUGAGAGGGUGAUCGGCCACACUGGGACUGAGACACGGCCCAGACUCCUACGGGAGGCAGCAGUAGGGAAUCUUCGGCAAUGGGGGCAACCCUGACCGAGCAACGCCGCGUGAGUGAAGAAGGUUUUCGGAUCGUAAAGCUCUGUUGUAAGUCAAGAACGGGUGUGAGAGUGGAAAGUUCACACUGUGACGGUAGCUGACCAGAAAGGGACGGCUAACUACGUG